Non-coding RNA from Cinara cedri, 596 nucleotides. The record is from the annotation of a GenBank genome assembly. NCBI's taxonomy places the organism in Eukaryota, Metazoa, Arthropoda, Insecta, Hemiptera, Aphididae.
GCGUUCGAGUGCUCGAAAGGAUGCGGACGGAGUUACAAGUAUAAACGCAAUUUGUUAAGACAUUUAAGGGAGGAAUGCGGAGUAAAACCCAACCACAAAUGUUCGGUUUGUUUGAAGGCAUAUAAUCGAAGCGACUAUUUGUUAAUCCAUCUGGCUCAAACCCAUAGUAUAUCAAAUAAGAAAUAAAUUGAUUUAAAAAACUACUAAAAUAAGGUAAGUAAAAAAUAUUUUCGACAGGUGAUUUUAAGGGUUACCUUGUUACGUUUGCAUUAUAUUAUUUAUGGUUUCAGAUGCAAGUUUUUCGAUUCGGAAUUUUCGGGGAACCCUAACCGACCAUCAACACUCAACACUUCCUGCGCAGCCUUUGCAUUUUAUUCUUAUAUAAACUAUACAUUUUGUCUAACGGGAAAAUAGUACAUAUUAUGAUCUAAUAAAUGAUUUGGUUUAUACAAAAACGGUUCUUAACUCCAUUUCGGGCCAAAAUAUGUUAACCACGUAUUUUCAAUGUAAGAAAUAGAUUCAACGUUGUAUGCAAGAAAGAACCUUAUGCAGACAUUUUCUGGACUAAAAACGCCUUGUUCUUGAAUGACUUAUCA